This 497-nucleotide ribosomal RNA is filed under the name uncultured bacterium. RNAcentral describes it as "partial 16S ribosomal RNA". It matches the Rfam family "Bacterial small subunit ribosomal RNA", at positions 28 to 507 of the family's 1533-position model. The record is from RNAcentral.
GAUGAACGCUGGCGGCGUGCCUAAUACAUGCAAGUCGAGCGAACGGACGAGAAGCUUGCUUCUCUGAUGUUAGCGGCGGACGGGUGAGUAACACGUGGAUAACCUACCUAUAAGACUGGGAUAACUUCGGGAAACCGGAGCUAAUACCGGAUGAUAUUUUGAACAGCAUGGUUCAAAAGUGAAAGACGGUCUUGCUGUCACUUAUAGAUGGAUCCGCGCUGCAUUAGCUAGUUGGUAAGGUAACGGCUUACCAAGGCAACGAUGCAUAGCCGAACUGAGAGGGUGAUCGGCCACACUGGAACUGAGACACGGUCCAGACUCCUACGGGAGGCAGCAGUAGGGAAUCUUCCGCAAUGGGCGAGAGCCUGACGGAGCAACGCCGCGUGAGUGAUGAAGGUCUUCGGAUCGUAAAACUCUGUUAUUAGGGAAGAACAUAUGUGUAAGUAACUGUGCACAUCUUGACGGUACCUAAUCAGAAAGCCACGGCUAACUACGUG